Molecule: ribosomal RNA, 417 nt
Filed under: Triticum aestivum (bread wheat)
Lineage: Eukaryota; Viridiplantae; Streptophyta; Magnoliopsida; Poales; Poaceae
Description: partial small subunit ribosomal RNA
Source: RNAcentral
AUGGAAGGAAUAAUGGAUGCAGAAGGUGUGGAACUAGAGGUCCUUGUUGGCCUUAGUUCACGACUAUGUAAUGCCAUUCCUGAAGACUUUGAGCGAGAGCUUGAGCAUGGUCCGAAUAAGGAAAGAUUUAUAAAGAGACUUGUCUCUGCACUUAACUCAAAUAUGACACCCACUGCUCAUUGCCCUGGCAUCAGGAGGGUGAUAGUUGAACAUGCCAUAUACAUGAUGGAAUUCAUUCCUGUCUACACUAGCUGUUUCAAGAACUGUCGGAUGAUGGAAGCACUGCUGAUGGUAGGGUGUACACCUUCAAGGGCUGAAAAGUACAGGUUCUUCUCGGGUGAUGCAGGACUCAUGGAGCACAGCAUACCUCUAUCCACACUUGUGGCUAGAGCAAAAGAACUGAUGGACCAUGAGUAG